This 468-nucleotide ribosomal RNA is filed under the name uncultured bacterium. RNAcentral describes it as "partial 16S ribosomal RNA". It matches the Rfam family "Bacterial small subunit ribosomal RNA", at positions 28 to 507 of the family's 1533-position model. The record is from RNAcentral.
GACGAACGCUGGCGGCGUGCUUAACACAUGCAAGUCGAACGGUGAAGCUCCAGCUUGCUGGAGUGGAUCAGUGGCGAACGGGUGAGUAACACGUGAGCAACCUGCCCCUGACUCUGGAAUAAGCGCUGGAAACGUCGUCUAAUACUGGAUACGAGAAGGGUCCGCAUGGGCACUUUCUGGAAAGUUUUUCGGUUGGGGAUGGGCUCGCGGCCUAUCAGCUUGUUGGUGAGGUAAUGGCUCACCAAGGCGACGACGGGUAGCCGGCCUGAGAGGGCGACCGGCCACACUGGGACUGAGACACGGCCCAGACUCCUACGGGAGGCAGCAGUGGGGAAUAUUGCACAAUGGGCGAAAGCCUGAUGCAGCGACGCCGCGUGAGGGAUGACGGCCUUCGGGUUGUAAACCUCUUUCAGCAGGGAAGAAGCGAAAGUGACGGUACCUGCAGAAGAAGCACCGGCUAACUACGUG